This 4576-nucleotide long non-coding RNA is filed under the name Triticum aestivum (bread wheat). Its description in RNAcentral is "long non-coding RNA (TAES_LNC004364)". Lineage: Eukaryota; Viridiplantae; Streptophyta; Magnoliopsida; Poales; Poaceae. The record is from RNAcentral.
UUCCCCGGGGUAGCCUCGGACGGCCAUAAAAGCGUGUCUCCACCUCCAGUACCUGUAGAGUGUGAUGUGACCGCUGAGCCCACGCACCGUCAGCUCACUCCCGAUCCAGAUCCACUCGUUCCACUUCAGUCUGCGGCGACGACUUUCCUCCUCCCACGCAGAUCUCGUCGGCGCGAGCACCAGAUCAGCCGCAGCGCCGAAGGUAGUCCGCCUUCUCCUCGCUCCGUCUUGUAGAUCCAUCUCAGGCUCUCGCUCUCGAUCUGUCCUCUUCUUUUUCCUUUUCGGCGUCCAUUUCUUGUGGAUCUGAUCCGGAUUCAUGCUUUGCAGAGCUCGAUCUGCUCUGCUGUCAACUUCUUCAGCGUCGCGAACUGGAGGCGGAGAGCCGCUGCUCGGUGUUCGUUCAGGCUGCUCUUCUUCAACCUUCCGCCUCUGGCGUCGUCUCUCCUCCUCCCGGAUCCCGGUCGAGAUCUCAUCCACCGCCAGGUCGCACCCUGCUUCCUCAGGGUGCAGCCUUGUGGUCACGAGGCGAGGUCGCCGUCUUCGCGUCAACUGGAAUCACAUCUGGCGUCGACAAGCUUACUGUUUCCUCCGGCCUGAUCUGGCAUCGACAAGCAGUUUCCUCCGGUUGGAUCUGGCAUCGACAAGCUUACUGUUUCCUCCGGUUUGAUCUGCAUCCAUCUGGAAUCAAAUAACCUGUUUGAUCUUCCCUGCUUCAGAUUUUCUUCACUGCAUCGAUCUGGACUCCCUCCGAGCACCUCCCGACUGCAAGGUAAGGUCUUCCCGAGCUUUCCCUUCAGCGGUUACUGGUUCAACAGAAAGUAUGCUUCCAUACUUGCUGCAUUUCUUUGCUUGGUUAUAGUGGUGUACUGGUGUCUCAAACUUUCUGCUUGCGCAUAUUAUUUCUUUGCUUGCACCUUUGAAUGCUUGUGAAGUUCUUUUUUUUUGGGUGAGAAACUGCUUGUGAAGUUGUGUAGCUUACUGUAUUUCCUUCUAUUAUGGUAAAUCGGACGCCCUUUAAUUGUUAGUAUAAUCUUUUAAACUGGAGUUAAUAUGCGUAAAAUCAAUUAUUGGUCCUGAACUUAUUUCAGUCUGAGCUUGUCUGGCGAUAUAUCUAAAGAACGCUUGCGAAUAUGCUGAAUCUGCUGGAACUUGCUAAAACUAUCACUGAUUGGCACAUAGUACUCGUUUAUUCUAUUUAAAAGAGAAUCAACUGGCUAUGAAAUUCUUUUCUUCAUCUCUUUUGCUGUGAUACUUUUAGUAGGUCAUUUCCUCUUUUUUAAUAUAAAUUUGCUACCUUUUUACACUUCCUAGAUGCACAAUAUUUUUAUUUUUUUGUUGUAAAUUCCUUAUGAUUAUUGAUCACAUCUGGGGAGAAGAAAAUGUGAAGAUUUGUAAAAAAUUCUUUGUAGUUGAAUAAUCAUAACAUAACAUACAAGAUUACUAUCUUUGAAGCAUAUCACUUUUUCUGUGAUAACAUAAUUCAUAAGAAACCUCUUUCAAAUAAGACUCUCAAAUAAUUUUCUAUAGAAAAUAUAUCGUAAUGAGAACAUAUGUUCACGUGAAUUAGAGAAAAUAUCGAGAGCUAUUUUCAAGAAAUGUGGUGGUGUACCAUAGCCAUUAUUGCUGUAACUACUAUUUUUGUUAGUAAUAAACCAAAUGGAGCAAAAAUUAUUGAUUCUGUUUGCUCAAUUUUAUGUGUCAUGAGGUAACAAAAGAUGCUAUAUUUGAAGGAAAUGGAAGGGAUAUUAUUGCUCAAUUGUUAUGAUUUGCUUCCCAUUUGAAGACUAGUUUAUUAUAUAUAAGCAUAUUUUUGUAAGUUUGAGAGAGAGAUCACAAGAAGAUCCACUUCAAGAGCCAUUGGACCGCUGAGAAAUAUGUUUAGAUAUAAUAAACAAGUCUUUAGAUGGGAAGGCAGAUCAUAAUAGCUGAGCGAAAUGUAAGUGAUACCGUUGCUCAAUUGUUAUGAUCUGCUUCUCAUCUGAAGACUAGUUUAUUACAUAUAAGCAUAUUCUUGAAAGUUUGAGAGAGAGAGAGAGAGAUCACAAGCAGAUCCCGUGCAGAAGAGAACAUCACUGAUACAACUAUAAUAAUUCUUCCACUUCAAGAGCCAUUGGGUCGCUGAGAAAUAUCUUUAGAUAUAAUAAACAUGUCUUCAGAUGAGAAGGCAGAUCAUAAUAGCUAAGCAAUAAUAUCAUUUUCAUUUUUUCUUUCGAACUAGCAUCUUUUGUAACCCCACAACCCGUAGCAUUGAGCAAACACAACCAAUCAUUAUUUGCUCUAUUUGGUUAUUACUAACCAAAAUACUAGUUAUAAUAAUGAUGGUUAAUGGUACACCUCCACAUAUUUUCAAAAUAGCUCUUGCUACUUACUCCAUUUUUCAUGCGGACACCUAUUCUUGCAUUCUCAUAUAGAGAAUUGUUCAUCUCUGAGUCUGUGAUACUACUUUUAUUAUGUCAUUUCCUCUUUUUAAUCCAAUUUAGCUGCCUUUUUACUCUUCCUAGCUAGCACAGUAUUGAUAAUUCAUUAUCUUCAUUGUGAUUCCUAAAUUCCCAUAGCUCGUUUAAAUAAAUUGAUGUGCCAAUUAAUAUUUCUAUUUUUUUGUAAAUACCUUAUGAUUAUUGAUUACAUGUGGGUAGAAAAAAAAGGUGAAGAUUAAGUGUUGUUUGUAUACAUUUUAGUUGUAUCGGAUAUCAUCAUAACAAAAUGCAAAAUUAGUAUCUUCUAAGCAUAUCACUUUUUCUGUGAUACAUAGUUCAUGAGAAACCUCUUUCAAAUAAGACUCUCAAAUAAUUUUCUAUAUAAAAUAUCGAGAAUAUAUGUUCACGUGAAUUGGAGAAAAUAUAACAAGAUGCAAAAUUAGUAUCUUUGAAGCAUAUCACUUUUUUUGUGAUACAUAGUUCAUGAGAAACCUCUUUCAAAUAAGACUCUCAAAUAAUUUUCUAUAGAAGAUAUAUCACGAUGAGAAUAUAUGUUCACGUGAAUUGGAGAAAAUAUCGAGAGCUAUUUCGAAGAAAUGUGGCAGUGUAUCAUAGCCAUUAUUACUAUAGCUACUAUUUUGGUUAGUAAUAAUACCAAAUGCAGCAAAAAAAUUAUUGGUUUUGUUUGCUCAAUUUUAUGCCUCAUGAGGUUACAGAAGAUGCUAUUUUGAAGAAAAUAAAAGGGAUAUUGUUGCUCCAAUUGUUAUGAUUUGCUUCUCAUCUGAAGACUAGUUUAUUACAUAUAAGCAUAUUUCUGUAAGUUUGAGAGAGAUCAUAAACAAGCGAUCGCCACAUGUUGACAGGGCUGCUCGACCGGCAGAGCAGUCCAGCAGCCGCAGCGGACGACUGAACGUGUUGCACCCCACCGCACCAUACAACUAUAAUAAUUCUUCCACUUCAUGAGCCAUUGGACUAUUGGGAAAUAUGUUUAGAUAAUAAACAAGCCUUCAGAUGAGAAGGCAGAUCAUAAUAGGUGAGCAAUAAUUUUUUUUUCUUUCAAACUAGCACCUUUUGUAACCCCACAACCCAUAGCAUUGAGCAAGCACAACCAAUCAUUGUUUGCUCUAUUUGAUUAUUACUAACCCAAAUACUAGCUAUAGUAAUGAUGGCUAAUGGUACACCUCCAGAUUUUUCAAAAUAGCUCUCGCUACUUACUCCAUUUUUCAUGCGGACAUAUGUUCUCGCUCUAAAAUAUUCGUAUAUAGAGAAUUAUUGGAGAGUCUUAUUUUAAAUAUGUUCAGUUCUAUUAAUUAUGUCAUCAUAGGAAGAGUGACAUUAUUUGUAGACACUAAUUUGCGUGUUAUUACGAUUAUCUGACUACAGAGAUUGGUUUUUGACACACCAUACUUAAUAAAUCUUCACAUGUUGUUUUGCAUGAUGCGUGUUGUUUUUCUUCUCCGAUGAGGCCUGCCCUUCGCUCACAUCUCAAAAGUCCCGAGGAACAUGAAGAUCAGCGCACCAGCAGUCAGCAGCUCAAGUUCACCGACCCAGGAAAGAUAUAUAGGAACUAGUAGUAUAUCAUAGGGGCACCAGUGCAAAUCAAAAUAGUGUUUCUGGCUUUUGCUAUCACGCUGUGUACUCCCCAUUCCGAUAUGGUUGAAUCGCUGGAGAGGGCAACUUUGUUUGUAGGUGCCAAUAUUCAUGUGUCUCUUUGCUGAGGGCCUGAGCAUGUCAUCUGUUGUCUUGGGGACAUGAGCCUCAUGGUAUUUCAGGAUACUUCCAUGAUGCCAAACAUCUCCGAAGUCAAUUCACAUGGCUUUGCUUCCUCCUCUCCUUUUACAUGUUGCUGCUGUACAUGUGCUCUUCAGCCUGUAACUAAAAGUGUUGAUGAUUUUGUUCACUUUGUGCUUGCAGUUUUCUUUUGAGGGGAUUGUGUUUGCAGAUUUUGGUUCAAUCUCUUUACAUUUUGCCAUGACCAAUUGCACGUGCUUACAAGGAAAGGGAGUCUGUAAAAACAUGACUUUUUUUAAGGCUGUAAAAACAUUACUUGUAGUUUUUGGUACCGUGUGGUUGAAAAAAGUUUGAAGGCGCUUAUGGAAACAAAGGUUGUCCUGGUAUAUGAUCCGCUUGCUGUCUCUUGAUGAUGGCAACGGGCCGCG